GCCUGGGUGGCUCAGUCAGUUAAGCAUCUGACUUCAGCUCAGGUCAUGAUCUCACCCUUUGUGGGUUCGAGCCCCACGUCGGGCU
This is a transfer RNA of Felis catus (domestic cat), 85 nucleotides long. It matches the Rfam family "tRNA". Rfam says of the family: Transfer RNA (tRNA) molecules are approximately 80 nucleotides in length. Their secondary structure includes four short double-helical elements and three loops (D, anti-codon, and T loops). Lineage: Eukaryota; Metazoa; Chordata; Mammalia; Carnivora; Felidae. The record is from Rfam.